UGGCCUUGACAUCCCGAUGAAUGAGGGGCAAUGCCCUCAGGGCUUCGGCCCAUCGGAGACAGGUGGUGCAUGGUUGUCGUCAGCUCGUGUCGUGAGAUGUUGGGUCAAGUCCCGCAACGAGCGCAACCCUUGCCCUUAGUAGCCAGCAAGAGAGAUGGGAACUCUAAGGGGACUGCCGGGGGUAACCCGGAGGAAGGCGGGGAUGACGUCAAAUCAUCAUGCCCCAUAUGGCCAGGGCGACACACGUGCUACAAUGGCGUCCACAGAGGGAGGCGAGGGGGCGACCCUAAGCGAAUCCCAAAAAAGGCGUCCCAGUUCGGAUCGCAGUCUGCAACCCGACUGCGUGAAGCUGGAAUCGCUAGUAAUCGCGGAUCAGAAUGCCGCGGUGAAUACGUUCCCGGGUC
RNAcentral lists this ribosomal RNA (404 nucleotides) under uncultured bacterium. RNAcentral's name for it is "bacterial SSU rRNA". It matches the Rfam family "Bacterial small subunit ribosomal RNA", at positions 976 to 1380 of the family's 1533-position model. The record is from RNAcentral.